UCCCCCUUACAAACAACAUCUCAACCAUCCUAUGAAUGGGAUGUUGGUGCCGGACUGAUUUGCCUUCAGAAAACUUGGUAAAGGCAACCAGAAGCUUCUGGCGACCCUCCUCUGGCUUGGCCUUGCCAAUAGCUCCCAUUGAUUGUGACUUGCUGCCCACACCACUUGGAUCCAUGGACACAGAAAACUAGUGACCUUUGGUAAAUCCGUUCCAAUGGUGUCAAUGGCUGACAUGGGGGCGGCCAUGGUGGCACGACCUCCGCCAGCACAGGAGCUUUC
RNAcentral lists this long non-coding RNA (279 nucleotides) under Elaeis guineensis (African oil palm). RNAcentral's name for it is "long non-coding RNA (EGUI_LNC037348)". The record is from RNAcentral. Lineage: Eukaryota; Viridiplantae; Streptophyta; Magnoliopsida; Arecales; Arecaceae.